RNAcentral lists this ribosomal RNA (497 nucleotides) under uncultured bacterium. RNAcentral describes it as "partial 16S ribosomal RNA". It matches the Rfam family "Bacterial small subunit ribosomal RNA", at positions 28 to 507 of the family's 1533-position model. The record is from RNAcentral.
GAUGAACGCUGGCGGCGUGCCUAAUACAUGCAAGUCGAGCGAACAGAUAAGGAGCUUGCUCCUUUGACGUUAGCGGCGGACGGGUGAGUAACACGUGGGUAACCUACCUAUAAGACUGGGAUAACUUCGGGAAACCGGAGCUAAUACCGGAUAAUAUUUUGAACCGCAUGGUUCGAUAGUGAAAGAUGGUUUUGCUAUCACUUAUAGAUGGAUCCGCGCCGUAUUAGCUAGUUGGUAAGGUAACGGCUUACCAAGGCGACGAUACGUAGCCGACCUGAGAGGGUGAUCGGCCACACUGGAACUGAGACACGGUCCAGACUCCUACGGGAGGCAGCAGUAGGGAAUCUUCCGCAAUGGGCGAAAGCCUGACGGAGCAACGCCGCGUGAGUGAUGAAGGUCUUCGGAUCGUAAAACUCUGUUAUUAGGGAAGAACAUACGUGUAAGUAACUGUGCACGUCUUGACGGUACCUAAUCAGAAAGCCACGGCUAACUACGUG